AGAGCGAACGCUGGCGGCAGGCUUAACACAUGCAAGUCGAGCGGGCGUAGCAAUACGUCAGCGGCAGACGGGUGAGUAACGCGUGGGAACGUACCUUUUGGUUCGGAACAACACAGGGGAAACUUGUGCUAAUACCGGAUAAGCCCUUACGGGGAAAGAUUUAUCGCCGAAAGAUCGGCCCGCGUCUGAUUAGCUAGUUGGUGAGGUAACGGCUCACCAAGGCGACGAUCAGUAGCUGGUCUGAGAGGAUGAUCAGCCACAUUGGGACUGAGACACGGCCCAAACUCCUACGGGAGGCAGCAGUGGGGAAUAUUGGACAAUGGGCGAAAGCCUGAUCCAGCCAUGCCGCGUGAGUGAUGAAGGCCCUAGGGUUGUAAAGCUCUUUGUGCGGGAAGAUAAUGACGGUACCGCAAGAAUAAGCCCCGGCUAACUUCGCGCCAGCAGCCGC
Molecule: ribosomal RNA, 448 nt
Filed under: uncultured bacterium
Lineage: Bacteria
Description: SSU rRNA
Rfam family: Bacterial small subunit ribosomal RNA
Source: RNAcentral